GAUGAACGCUGGCGGCGUGCCUAAUACAUGCAAGUCGAGCGAAUGGAUUAAGAGCUUGCUCUUAUGAAGUUAGCGGCGGACGGGUGAGUAACACGUGGGUAACCUGCCCAUAAGACUGGGAUAACUCCGGGAAACCGGGGCUACUACCGGAUAACAUUUUGAACCGCAUGGUUCGAAAUUGAAAGGCGGCUUCGGCUGUCACCUAUGGAUGGACCCGCGUCGCAUUAGCUAGUUGGGGAGGUAACGGCUCACCAAGGCAACGAUGCGUAGCCGACCUGAGAAGGAGAUCGGCCACACGGGGACUGAGACACGGCCCAGACGCCUACGGGAGGCAGCAGUAGGGAAGCGUCCGCAAAGGACGAAAGUCUGACGGAGCCACGCCGCGUAAGUGAUGAAGGCUUUCGGGUCGUAAAACUCUGUUGUUAGGGAAGAACAAGUGCUAGUUGAAUAAGCUGGCACCUUGACGGUACCUAACCAGAAAGCCACGGCUAACUACGUGCCAGCAGCCGCAGUGA
Molecule: ribosomal RNA, 515 nt
Filed under: uncultured bacterium
Lineage: Bacteria
Description: partial 16S ribosomal RNA
Rfam family: Bacterial small subunit ribosomal RNA
Source: RNAcentral